ACAAUUAACAAUUUUUUUCGCUUCCCGGAUGGUUGGAGAACUCAAGUGACACGACCGAGUAUCGCCGUCAAUAAAGAACUUCGUUUACAUUAUUAUUUUUAUUAUUAUCAUUAUUAUCAUCAUCAUCAUACAACGUUAAACAGUAGGGCAAGCCCCAUUGACUACUGCCUUUCUCACCAUGUUGCCCGUAGAAGUAGAAAGAACGAAUAUACAAGAUGGAUAAGGAGUGGACCUACACAGGAGGGGAAAAGAAACAACGCCCUAAUAGCCAACAAAUGGAAUACACAGUCUAAUUGUACAAGCACACAUUGACCAGUCAUCCUGAUUCGACAGAAAGUGACAACACGAUCGCCACUGUUCACGGUUCGCUGCCAUAUCCUUCAGUGUCUCCAGCCUACUGGCCAAGGGAUCUUUUUGACUCCAACGACGAAGACGUGAGGCACCUACUUUUCCUAAUUUCGCUGCACAUUUUCUCAUGCCUCGUUGCCAUGUCAUCUGUUGACCUUCACGUGGUUUCCUCCACUCCCUAGGAGAAACGGAAAACAAGGCACGGUUUGUUAGACGUGUCUUCGCCAUACGUAACACNUGCAAAAUCUUCAGGAUGUAGGCGUCGAACUAAGAAAUAGGGGAAAGCUGUGUGAUCUAGAUUACGCAGACGACGUUGUCUGUUUGUUCGAAUCCACGGAACAUGCUCAACGUGCACCAGAUAGACUCUCAAGAGCCGUAGCUUUAUUCGGCAUGCGCUUUGGACCUUCAAAGGGCAAGGUGGUGUUACAAAACUGGACGGCAACGAUUCCGAGUUUGAUGGACGAUGGGGAAGUGCUGUCAAUUGCUGAUCGCUUCAGUUACAUUGGGAGCAGCGUGACGAUGGAUGGGAACACAGUGUUAGAGGUGAGCACGCGAAUAUCCAAGACUCGAGGGGCGUACGCUGGACUGCAGCACUUGUGGCGCCGACCUGAUAUUUCACUGAAUUUGGAAGGUCGUGUGUACUGUGCUGCAGUGCGUUCAGUUUUGUUGUAUGGUUGUGAGACUUAGAGUCUGCGCACUGAUGAUAUUCGUCGUCUUGAGGUUUUUAACCAUCGAUAUUUCCGUAGUAUCGGUAAGACUCGGUGGAAUAGCAGAGUGAGCAAUGCUGAGGUCUGAAACCGAGUAUUGGGUAUUAAUUCGGAGAACAUUCUGUCACAGUGUAGACUUCGAUAGUUGGGGCCGGUGUUACGUAUGACAAACACACGUCUGCCGUACGGUGUCCUAUUCUCCGUUCCGCCUAGGGUGUGGAAGAAACCACGUGGAGGUCAACAGAUGACAUGGCAACGAGGAAUGAUGAAAUGUACAGCAAACUUAAGAAAAGUAGGUGUCUCACGUCUUCGUUGUUGGGGUCAAAAAGAUCCCUUGGCCAGUAGGCUGGAGACACUGAAAGAUAUGGCAGCGAACCGUCAACAGUGUCCAUCGUGUUGUCACUUCCUGUUGAAUCAGAAUGGUUGAUCGAUGUGUGUUUGAACAAUGAGGCUGUGUAUUCUGUGUGUUGGCUGCUAGGGCAUUCUUUCCUUUUCCCACUCGUGUAGGUCCACUUCCUGUCCAUCCUUUAUAUCCAUACUUUCUAAUUCAAUGUGCAACAUGGUGAGAAAGGCAGUGGUCAGUGGGGCUGGCUCUGUUUAACGCUGUACGAUGAUGAUGAUACUGCUGUAAGCCUCAUCUGCCAUCCGUGGUUUGUUUGGAAUCAGGGUUUAGCCAUCUCCCCUAGACUGACUAUUAGUCAAUGAACCCGGUGGAGAGCGCUGAGCAUUUGCUUUCGUCCUCUAACUUUAGUGGGAACACCCGCCACGAGAAGGCAGUGAGUAGGCCUUCCUCAGCAGAGACUGUGUUAGACGCACGGUCACUUGGGAGCAUUUCGAGGCGUUCAGGAUGAGUAACCACUUUGGAGCCUGAGAUACCCAAACCCAACCAUACUGAGGCAUCUGGAGACAGUCAGCAAACGCCUGCUGUUGGUACGGGUUUAGCUUCAGUUUGGUUUGAAUUCACCCUGAACAGAAUGAUGCACAUGCCAUCCUCAGCUUUUUGAUACAUCUAGUUCUGCACUUGACGCGCAGCGAUUUCUGACGUGCCAUAAUUCGAUCGUCAAACGUUGAGUAUUAGGGGGCGAAGACUAAUCGAACACAAUUCUAGUAGCUGUUCCCCUCGCGAAGUUUUGCCCCUCCAGGAUAGCUGGCAUUCUGUGAUAUAAAACAGUUUUAGUCCGCGAUAAAGCGAAAUGAUUAGAGGCAUCUGGGGGGCGAAACGUCCUCAACCUAUUCUCAAACUUAUAAAAUGUGUGAGAAGCCUAACUCGCUCACAACGGAGCUGGCGUUGAAUGUGAGUGCCUAAGUGGGCCAUUGUGUAAGCAGAAACUGGCGCUGUGGGAUGAACCAAAACGUUCGGUUAAGGUGCCUAACGGCGACCGCUCCCAAUGAGAUAUCCACAAAAGGUGUUGGUUGGUCCAGACAGGCAGGACGGUGGCCGAUAGGAAGUUUGGGAAUCCGCUAAGGAGUGUAGUAAACAACUCACCUUGCCCGAAAUCAACCAGCCUGAAAAUGGAUGGCGCUGAGCGUCGGACCUAUACCGGACCGUUCAUUGCAAGCUGAGGUCGGCUAAUGUGUGGUGUGAGGCGGCAAGCGCAUCAGGGGAAACCUUUUCCCCAGGCCGCGCGGCGGGGGGGGAACUUUUUGGGGGUCCUGUGACGAAGUAGGAGGGUCGCCGUGGUGAGGGCCGGAAAGCUUCGGGCGUGGAGCUGGAGUGCGCGCGCCACGCGCGCUCGCCACGAUCUUGGUAGGUAGUAAGCAAAUAUUCAAGUGAUGAACCUUUGAAGGCCGAAGGUGGAGAAGGGUUCCAUGGGAACAGCCAGUUCGCCAAGGGUCAGGCGGUCCUAAGUAUCCGGUAAAAUCGGUGCAGAGACGGGGUGCCUGACAUUGUCAGGAUUUGCUGCCAAUUGUUUAGCUGUUGCACGGUAGCCCCGCUGUAGCGAAAGGGAAUCCGGGUUAAUAUUCCCGACCCUGCCCCGGAGAUUGUGUAUUCUGGCUUCGGUUCAGUUUGCACCGCUGGCGGCGGGUAAUCGCAAAUCGACCUCGGAGGGACGUACGCGAGAGUUCUGUGAAGAGUUUUCUCUUUUCUUUGUUAGGAGUGCACCAAUCCCCUGAAACGGGUUGUACCCGGAGUAUAGUGGGACUAGCCUCCCCGUAAGCACGCCAGCCCUUCUUGUGGUGGUCCGGAACACCCUCUUGUCGACCCUUGAUAAAUCCGAGGACGAAGGCUAUAUAAUUUUCGUGGCAGGUCACCGUACCCAUAUCCGCAUGCAGGUCUGCCGCAAAGGUGAAACAGCCUCUGGCAUUUGAACCAUGUAAGGUAAGGGAUAGUUCGGACAAAUUGGAUCCGUAACUUCGGGAAAAGGACUUGGGCCCUCUGAGCGGCCCGAGUCAAACGGCUGAAGUAAGAUACGUGUCGGUCAAGUUUGGCAGGCUGGUUUCUCUGUUUGCCUUGUCUGCAUGUCGGUGGGUUAGGGAGUUAUUGACGGAGUUUACUGACUUCUGACCGGUAUCGGUUGGCCGUGGGCGACUUCAAGGCUAAUCAUAGUUGCUUGGCAAGCGGUGGUGCAUGGGUAACUGUGUGGGCGCAUGGCGGUCUUUUUGCUCUCUCGUCUGGCGUUCCUCGAGCGGCUAACUCAGAACUGGCACGGACCAGAGGAAUCCGACUGUCUAAUUAAAAACAAAAGCAUUGCGAAUGUCCACCUAUCGGUUUUGACGCAAUGUGAUUUUCUGCCCCAGUGGUCUCUGAAUGUCAAAAGUGAAGAAAUUCAAUCAAGCGGCGGUAAACGGCGGGAGUAACAUGACUCUCUAGGUAGCCAAAUCCUCAAUCAUGCUAAUUAAGUGACGGCGCAUGAUGGAAUUAACGAGAUUCCCUACUGUCCUAAUCCUACUAUCUAGCGAAACCAACAGCAAGGGAACGGGCCUUGGCAGAAUUAGCGGGAAAGAAGACCCUGUUGAUCCUUGACUGCUAGUCCGACUUUGUGAGGAGACAUGACGGGUGUAGAAUAAGUGGCGAGCGCGGUCCUUUCGGGGCUAUGUCGACAGUGAAAUACCAAAAAAACCACCGUCAUUGUUUCUUUGCUUAUUCAGUAAAAACGAGGAAAUCUGAUUGUUGGUUCUAAGCCCAUCAUGGCUGGCGUCGUGGCGCAUGCUGCGGGGGUUGGUAUCCUGGUCAUGUCAGAAUAGUCGUGGUCUCGGCCGCGCCGUUUGAGUCUAUGAUUGUUGAUGUGCUGACCCGUUCUGCAGGAGACAAUUGUCAGCGGGAGUUUUGACUGGGGCGGUACAUCUGUCAAAUGGUAACGCAGGUGUCCCAAGGUGAGCUCAGCCAGGACGGAAACUCUGGCGUGGAGUAGUAUGUGGGUCUAUGGUGGGGUUGGUGGCGCCUGUGAAACCGAAAGUGUGGGCCGAAAGGUUCGAUCCCAUACCAACUCCAAUCUUUCCUUGCCGCGUCUGGAGCUGCAGUUUCCGUUUGGGGUGUACAGUCGAAGAUCACAAACUAAGUUUACGCUUACAUCACAGCUAUCGCUUUUCGAACGCCCAACCGACCAACUGGAGUCUCACUGCACAUAAACAACUGUUAACCGGCAUCCACAGUCCUAAAAGGGCAGCUUCGGCCUGUAAGCCCAGCGACUGAUCAACAACCACGUUGUAUCCCGCAGCUCUAGCUAGCUUUGUCUCCAUGAAGAUGCAGCAUAUGAUGAAUACACCAGGAGCCAGUUAGCUUGAAUCGAACACCCGCUCGAAUCCUGAAUCACGCGUUUCACUUACGCAGCAAUAAUUUCAAAUCGCCCAGACGAAAUCUACAUUGUACACUUCAAGGCAUGGCCUGCAGACCGCUUGCACUGAUUUCACGUCACUCGUGUAAACGGACCCGAGAUUCGGUGGGCUGACGAGGAAUGAAGGAAACUGUAGUUCUUACAAGACAUAGAUUAGUAUAACUUUUGCACAGAGACCGCUUCGAGUAUUCUGGCCGUUUAAUCAAUGAGAGCAUUAUGGGUGGCAUCGAUGGGACAAAGAGAGAGUGGUUGGAGCACAGGAAGACAAUGGUUGGAAAUAAAGAGAGGCGAAACUUUGAGCCCGUAGCCCACCUUAUCACUGACCGCCACCCCGCCCCGACCGCAAUUGAAGCAGCGCUGUCCUCAUUACCCUGCGGACGACGGACCGAUACAAGUAUGGAAUUCAUCUAUUAGUGCAGUUACAAUGGGAGAUGUUGGCGGGUACUGCUAGGGUGUCCACCACAAAGCAGGAGAAACGAAUAGUGCCUCAUACCAAACCCUUAGUGUCUAAACCGAGAACCUGCUUCGCCAGAAGCCAGAAGGGUGGGUUUAGUGGAAAGCCACCUUUUGCUUUGGAUUACAAUUAUUCUUCACACUGAUUUUUAGACGGAUUGAGGUGUACCGGCUGCAAAAUCUAUUUUCUCAACCUGGAGAACCAGGAGAUUGACUUUGUCCUGGCCUCUACCAUCUGACCUUUCAGGCNNNNNNNNNNNNNNNNNNNNNNNNNCACUGUUCUGCUCGCUGAUAACCCAACAUUAGGGCCGGAAACUUACCGCGUGAAAGGUUUAGGUUAUAACGGAGUCUGUCGUUUGACACUUAGGAUAGGUUUUGUCAGCUCCAGAAACGCGGACGGAGAUCAGUCAGAGGCGCAAAUCGAUAUAUUCACGCCUGAAUUAUGUGAGCACUACUAAAUCGGAGUCUUUGUGGACUAUCACAUGUUUGUUUCAUGCGAAUAGGGCAAUCACAAAUAAUAUUCCUAAUAUAUUAUUACCGAAAUAAACCGAUCAUAAGGAUGACAAAAUAAUAAAAUUAGCAGGCAAUCAACUGAAACGAAAAAAAAAAAAACGAAAUGCUCGUUUGCUAAUAAGAUGAAUGUUAAAUCAAACAAACCACCAGGAGCUUUUUGUCACUGCAUGCUUUUAGCAUAAAGUAGAAAAACAAGUGAAUGAGCGUCACCCCACAGGACUCGAGGGGAACACUAGAAAAUGCAAACACCAUAUAAGUGUAUAAUACUGGAAAAUACAAAAAACCCAUGAAGAUCUGGAGUGGUUAAACCAAACAUAAACAGAGUAUAUACAGGUACAGCUACACGAGGAAAAAAAAUAAAAAAACAAAAAAAAAAAAAGUUGUAAAAGAGGGUAACGAGCCGGAACGACAGUGGAAAUAUACGAUGAUACCAUCAAAAAUAUAACUGAUUAGAUAAAAUGGCGGGAAUAUCCCAACAGAAUAAUGACGAAUCUGGAAGAUAGAUAAUCAAAAAAAACGACAUAAAACAUAAGGACACAAUCGACCACCAACGGACGGGGAAGACAUUUGCCUCAGAGACUCUCACCAGAAUUUUCACGUUUUUCUUGCGCGUCGAGGGGAGUGUCAGUGCUCGGUCGCCGCACACGUCUCUGUUUGACUUUUAUGGGUCAGGCGAUUUGUAGGCAAAAUUCGAUAGAUUAUGCCCCCUUAGAAGAGUAUAGGUUCAUUUGCCGCUGCGGUAGCUCGGGUUACUUUUGCCAUCCAGCCUCAGAGUCUAUCUGUUAUGGAUAGAAGCCAUGCAAAGACUCGAAACAACAUUUUCAGUCAUUAGUUGAUCUUUCGCAACAUUGUGAGAGCAUCAGGACAAGUCACUACUGGCACUUGAAGUUGGCGCGGCGCCGAAUUAGGUGUUAGAAUUUUUUUUACUGUUCUGUCAGCGAUGGGGUCCCCCCUCCGCCUGCUCCCUCGCACUAAACGAUUGCUUCUUGAACGCUCCAUUACCGUGUUUAGAUUUCGAUGAUAUCAACAUUCAUCGUUGCCUCGUUUAAGGAAAGUCCCACAUUCUGCGUGCUUACCGGUCUCUACUUCUCCGAGGGAAUGUUAGAUUAAGUGCCAUAACUGGACGAAAAUCGCACGCACGACUACUAUUAUUAACAAUUUUUUCGCUCCCGGACAUGGUUGGGAGAACUCAAGUUGACAACGGAUCGAGCGGUAUCCCGCACGAUCAAUAAAACUUCGUAUCCUACGAUUAAUCUAUUUCUUAUAUUAAUAUCAUUAUUUAUCCAUUACAUCAUCAAUACAACGUUAAACAUAGCCGCGCCCCAGCAAGUCCCCAAUUGAAUCUACUUCCUUUCUCACCAUCGGUUUGCCCGGUAAGCAAGUAGAAAGAACGGACAUUUUACCAAAAGACAUGCCACAUGGAUUCUCUCUCUUCUUGCCUCCUCCCGCCUCGUCUGUCUGUCUUGUUCCUCCGAACUCUCCCAGUGCGCUGAGAACAGCGCCGCACGCUCCGGCCAACAGAGAACCGCACACCGGUCCCGCCAUUGCCGCUCCCAUGCACGACCUCGGCGAUACCCACCCCACUCGAUGACUCUCCCCAUCUGUUAUUCUCGUUCUCUAUCUACUUUCUACGUCCCCGGCAACCAUGGUCCGUGAGAGAAAGGGCAGUAGUCUCAAUGGGCGGCUUGCGCCGCCCUAACUGCCUGUAACGUUGCUAUGAUGAUUGCACUGACUACUAUUUUUGAUAAUAAUACACAAAGCCUAAUCAAUCGCUAAGAACGACUAGUUUCUUUAUUAGCCUCCUCGUCGAUACCUCGGUCGUGUCACUUGAGUCUACCAACCAUCCGGGUAAGCGAAACAAAAAAUUGUUAAUUGUGUCUUGCGUCGCGAUUUCGGUCCAGUUAUGGCACUACUACUUCCUCGGCGCAGAAUAACGUACGCCGAAUGGACUUUCACCCUAACGGCCAUUCCCCCAUAUAACAUGAUCUAAACACCCGUAUCGCGUUCGGUAUACGUUCAGUGAGCAAUCGUUAGUCAGGGCACACCGACCCAUCGCUCACAAAACAACCUCGCCCAACUAUUCAAGCUGCCAGGUAAAAAGGGACUGUCUGAUGCUCUCACAAUGUUUAGCGAAAACAACAAAUGAGAACCUGAAUGUUGUUAGUCAUUUAUUGUGAGGCUUCAUCCAACAGAAUAGGACUUCACUCGAGCUGGAUGCGCAAAAGUUAACCCCCGAUCACACGCACCCCGACGCAUACCUAAACUCCUUCUAAGGGGACUAGAUCUCUAUACGAACUUUUUGCACACCAUAAAUCGCCGACCCAUACCACCAAGUCACCACAUUCCCCGUUGCGUCGCCCGAUUCACCGGACCAAUUCUCUACACCGUGCAUAAAUUUCUGGUAACCCUCGAAGAGCAUCGUUCUUUCCCGGUCCGUAUGAGUGGUCGGAGUGGUCUAAGGUGCGUUUGAUUACUACUCCAGACGUCAGGACCCGUUUUUGCUAAUCACCCCGCCAAAAAACAUCCAGUUAAAUUUUGACCUGGUACACGGUAAUCCCACACUGUCGUCCGGUCCGUUACCACACCCUCGAACGUCUGACCCGAUACCGUAUUGU
Molecule: ribosomal RNA, 8412 nt
Filed under: Fasciola gigantica
Lineage: Eukaryota; Metazoa; Platyhelminthes; Trematoda; Plagiorchiida; Fasciolidae
Description: 28S ribosomal RNA
Rfam family: Eukaryotic large subunit ribosomal RNA (bases 3362-3982)
Source: RNAcentral